Non-coding RNA from Podarcis lilfordi (Lilford's wall lizard), 70 nucleotides. The record is from the annotation of a GenBank genome assembly. Lineage: Eukaryota; Metazoa; Chordata; Lepidosauria; Squamata; Lacertidae.
GCACAGCUUAGCUGCUUGGAGCAUGGUACUGAUAAUGCCAAGGUUGCAGGUUCGAUCCCUGUAUGGGACA